GGGUCAGUACGCUGGUCGUGCCUUGGUAUGCACUGGUGUCACUGAUUCCUCCCUUCUGAAGAACCGUUAUGCCAUUUAUUUGGUGUGAUGGGGAAUCAGGACUGUUACUUUGAAAAAAUUAGAGUGUUUAAAGCAGGCUCGCGCUUGAAUACAUUAGCAUGGAAUAAUGAAAUAGGACGUUUGAUCUUAUUUUGUUGGUUUCUAGGAUCGACGUAAUGAUUAAUAGGGAUAGUUGGG
This 237-nucleotide ribosomal RNA is filed under the name uncultured Glomeromycotina. RNAcentral describes it as "partial small subunit ribosomal RNA". The stretch from base 39 to 237 matches the Rfam family "Eukaryotic small subunit ribosomal RNA", at positions 686 to 886 of the family's 1831-position model. The record is from RNAcentral. Lineage: Eukaryota; Fungi; Glomeromycota.